AAGAUUAAGCCAUGCAUGCGUUAGAUUAAAAGUAGCUUGAACUCAAUCUGCGAAAGGCUCCGUAUAUCUGUUGAAACCUUAGGCGGAAAAGCUGGAGAUGGAAUCGGAUUGGAUCGGCAACGGACAACCGAGGAAAUCCUUUGGCUAAUACGCUAUACAAAAAACUUGAACACAGAAGGUGUCUGCACAGAAAGGCCCCUUCUAAGCAAUUGGGGGGAGUAUUAACACACUUCUUGUGGGUCGUGGGGGGAGGCGCGUUGAGGGCAGAGUGCCGUUCUCGAAACCUUGUCUGGAGACAGGGGAGUACAGGGUGGUCAGCAUUUUUGGCUUUUAGCUCCCUUAAACAAGGGGCGGCCGGGGGUGCCUGCCUCCACGUGGAAAGAACCUGCGAGUACCUCACUGGGGGCCUGGAGGUCAACAGCAUCUGGCGUGUUCUUCAGACCUAUCAACUACAUGCAUGGGGCACGGCCCCACAUGGUUUCAACAGGUACAGAGGAUCAGGGUUCGGUCCUGGAGAGGUAGCCUAAGAGAUCGCUACUACUUCUAAGGAAGGCAGCAGGCGCGCAACGUUCCCCAUGGGGAAACCCUGAGGACGUGAAGGAACAUAGCAAUACCGAGCCCUUAAAAGCCCGGUAAUUGAAAUGGGGGAGAUACAAAUCACCCACCGAGUAACAAUUG
Molecule: ribosomal RNA, 678 nt
Filed under: Calomyxa metallica
Lineage: Eukaryota; Evosea; Eumycetozoa; Trichiida; Dianemataceae
Description: SSU rRNA
Rfam family: Eukaryotic small subunit ribosomal RNA
Source: RNAcentral